AUACGUAGGGGGCAAGCGUUGUCCGGAAUGAUUGGGCGUAAAGGGCGCGUAGGCGGCCCGGUAAGUCUGAAGUGAAAGUCCUGGUUUUAAGUUGGGAAUUGCUUUGGAUACUGUCGGGCUUGAGUGCAGGAGAGGUAAGUGGAAUUCCCAGUGUAGCGGUGAAAUGCGUAGAGAUUGGGAGGAACACCAGUGGCGAAGGCGACUUACUGGACUGUAACUGACGCUGAGGCGCGAAAGUGUGGGGAGCAAACAGGAUUAGAUACCCUGGUAGUCCACACUGUAAACGAUGAAUGCUAGGUGUAGGGGGUAUCGACCCCUUCUGUGCCGCAGUCAACACAAUAAGCAUUCCGCCUGGGGAGUACGGCCGCAAGGUUGAAACUCAAAGGAAUUGGCGGGG
RNAcentral lists this ribosomal RNA (397 nucleotides) under uncultured bacterium. RNAcentral's name for it is "partial 16S ribosomal RNA". It matches the Rfam family "Bacterial small subunit ribosomal RNA", at positions 523 to 918 of the family's 1533-position model. The record is from RNAcentral.